UACAGAGGGUGCAAGCGUUAAUCGGAGUUACUGGGCGUAAAGGGCGCGUAGGCGGUUGAUUAAGUGAGAUGUGAAAGCCCCGGGCUUAACCUGGGAACGGCAUCUUAAACUGGUUGACUGGAGUACUGUAGAGGGUAGUGGAAUUUCCGGUGUAGCGGUGAAAUGCGUAGAGAUCGGAAGGAACACCAGUGGCGAAGGCGGCUACCUGGACAGAUACUGACGCUGAGGCGCGAGAGCGUGGGGAGCAAACAGGAUUAGAUACCCUGGUAGUCCACGCUGUAAACGAUGAGAACUAGAUGUUGGGCAGCUUGACUGUUUAGUAUCGAAGCUAACGCGAUAAGUUCUCCGCCUGGGGAGUACGGCCGCAAGGUUAAA
This 375-nucleotide ribosomal RNA is filed under the name uncultured bacterium. RNAcentral describes it as "bacterial SSU rRNA". It matches the Rfam family "Bacterial small subunit ribosomal RNA", at positions 524 to 898 of the family's 1533-position model. The record is from RNAcentral.